CACAAAGUCCAGAACGAAUUUCCAAGGAUCAAACCAACUUGUUAAACUUCCCUCCCCUGAAUUAAAAGUUCAGUUGGCCGAAUCUGCCAGCUUCCUCGCUCCUUCCCUCUCUUCUCCUGUGCUGGGAAUUGUCAGAACGGCCUUCAAGUUUGGCCAAAAUUACGGUGCCCGCUUAUUCCGCAGCAUUUCAAAUAUUUGCCCUGGAGGACGUCAUACAUUUAGGCUUCCUGGUAUCCCAGCUUUGAUAAAGUUUGAGGAGCUGUGCCCUUCC
RNAcentral lists this long non-coding RNA (271 nucleotides) under Naja naja (Indian cobra). RNAcentral's name for it is "lncRNA (ENSNNAG00000011483.1)". Lineage: Eukaryota; Metazoa; Chordata; Lepidosauria; Squamata; Elapidae. The record is from RNAcentral.